Molecule: ribosomal RNA, 253 nt
Filed under: uncultured bacterium
Lineage: Bacteria
Description: partial 16S ribosomal RNA
Rfam family: Bacterial small subunit ribosomal RNA
Source: RNAcentral
UACGUAGGGGGCAAGCGUUGUCCGGAUUUAUUGGGCGUAAAGAGCGUGUAGGCGGCCGUACAGGUCAGCUGUGAAAACUCGAGGCUCAACCUCGAGACGUCGGUUGAAACCGUACGGCUAGAGUCCGGAAGAGGAGAGUGGAAUUCCCGGUGUAGCGGUGAAAUGCGCAGAUAUCGGGAAGAACACCAGUGGCGAAGGCGGGUCUCUGGGACGGUACUGACGCUGAGACGCGAAAGCGUGGGGAGCGAACAGG